UUAAUUAUUUUAUUUUAAAAUUAAAUAUCCCGAAAUUAGAAGAUCUAAGUUAAUUAUUUUAUAAGAAAAUAAAUAGUUAAUGUUUCAAAAUUAAUAUAAAAUAUAAACUUAGGGGUGAAAGGCCUAUCAAUUCUAAUGAUAUCUGGAUAAACUUUAAAUGUAUUAAGUACAGAAUAAAUUUGAAUUAAAAAAUGUUGAGAUUUUUUAAAUUUAUUGAAUUAAUAGAUUUUUAAAUAUAUUAAGGAUAAGUCCUAAAUAAAAUAAUAUAAUUAAAAUUAAUAAUAAUUUUAAUCUUUAUAGUAAGGUUUAAUUUUUGAAAAUUUGUAUUAAAAAUUAAUAAUGUUAAAAUUAGUAGUGUUAUCAUAUAAAAUUAAGGAACUCGGCAAAUAAAUUUACUCAACUGUUUAUCAAAAACAUAGCGUUAUGGAACAUAUAAGGUUAAACCUGCCCAAUGAUUAAUAUUUAAUGGCCGCAGUACUUUGACUGUGCUAAGGUAGCAUAAUAAAUUGACUUUUAAUUGGGGCCUUGAAUGAAAGGUAAUAUGGGUAAUUACUGUCUUAAUUUUAUUAAUAUAAAGUUUCUUAAAAGGUGAAAAUUCCUUUUAAAUAAUUUAAAAGACGAGAAGACCCUAGGAGUUUAUACCAAUUUUAAAUGUUUUGUUGGGGCGACACUACAACAUAAAAACUUGUAGAAAAUAUAUAAAUAAAUAAAACGAAAUUUUUUAAUUAUAAUUAAACUACCCUAGGGAUAACAGCAUAAUUUAAUUUUAAGUUUGUGACCUCGAUGUUGGACUAGGAACUUUUAAUAUUAACAAUAUUAAAAAUUUGUUCUGUUCGAACAUUUAUUUCCUACAUGAUCUGAGUUCAGACCGGCGUA
Molecule: ribosomal RNA, 876 nt
Filed under: Weltersia obscura
Lineage: Eukaryota; Metazoa; Mollusca; Gastropoda; Stylommatophora; Limacidae
Description: partial large subunit ribosomal RNA
Rfam family: Archaeal large subunit ribosomal RNA (bases 352-876)
Source: RNAcentral